RNAcentral lists this ribosomal RNA (331 nucleotides) under uncultured eukaryote. RNAcentral describes it as "partial 18S ribosomal RNA". It matches the Rfam family "Eukaryotic small subunit ribosomal RNA", at positions 1470 to 1796 of the family's 1831-position model. The record is from RNAcentral.
CCCUUAGAUGUUCUGGGCCGCACGCGCGCUACACUGUUCGACGCAGCGCGUCUUAACCUUGACCGAAAGGUUUGGGUAAUCUUCAGCAAAGUCGAACGUGAUGGGGAUCGAUCAUUGCAAUUAUUGAUCGUGAACGAGGAAUUCCUAGUAAGUGCAAGUCAUCAGCUUGCGCUGAUUACGUCCCUGCCCUUUGUACACACCGCCCGUCGCUACUACCGAUUGAAUGGUUUAGUGAGAUCUCUGGAUUGACGCUGGCUAGGGGGCGACCCUUGGCCAGGCUGUCGAGAAACUGCUCAAACUUGAUCAUUUAGAGGAAGUAAAAGUCGUAACA